Molecule: ribosomal RNA, 720 nt
Filed under: Mammaliicoccus sciuri
Lineage: Bacteria; Bacillati; Bacillota; Bacilli; Caryophanales; Staphylococcaceae
Description: bacterial SSU rRNA
Rfam family: Bacterial small subunit ribosomal RNA
Source: RNAcentral
UGCAGUCGAGCGAACAGAUGAGAAGCUUGCUUCUCUGAUGUUAGCGGCGGACGGGUGAGUAACACGUGGGUAACCUACCUAUAAGACUGGGAUAACUCCGGGAAACCGGGGCUAAUACCGGAUAAUAUUUUGAACCGCAUGGUUCUAUAGUGAAAGACGGUUUCGGCUGUCACUUAUAGAUGGACCCGCGCCGUAUUAGCUAGUUGGUAAGGUAACGGCUUACCAAGGCGACGAUACGUAACCGACCUGAGAGGGUGAUCGGCCACACUGGAACUGAGACACGGUCCAGACUCCUACGGGAGGCAGCAGUAGGGAAUCUUCCGCAAUGGGCGAAAGCCUGACGGAGCAACGCCGCGUGAGUGAUGAAGGUCUUCGGAUCGUAAAACUCUGUUGUUAGGGAAGAACAAAUUUGUUAGUAACUGAACAAGUCUUGACGGUACCUAACCAGAAAGCCACGGCUAACUACGUGCCAGCAGCCGCGGUAAUACGUAGGUGGCAAGCGUUAUCCGGAAUUAUUGGGCGUAAAGCGCGCGUAGGCGGUUUCUUAAGUCUGAUGUGAAAGCCCACGGCUCAUCCGUGGAGGGUCAUUGGAAACUGGGAAACUUGAGUGCAGAAGAGGAGAGUGGAAUUCCAUGUGUAGCGGUGAAAUGCGCACAGAUAUGGAGGAACACCAGUGGCGAACGCGGCUCGCUGGUGUGUAAGCUGACGCUGAUGUGCGAA